RNAcentral lists this ribosomal RNA (497 nucleotides) under uncultured bacterium. RNAcentral's name for it is "partial 16S ribosomal RNA". It matches the Rfam family "Bacterial small subunit ribosomal RNA", at positions 28 to 507 of the family's 1533-position model. The record is from RNAcentral.
GAUGAACGCUGGCGGCGUGCCUAAUACAUGCAAGUCGAGCGAACGGACGAGAAGCUUGCUUCUCUGAUGUUAGCGGCGGACGGGUGAGUAACACGUGGAUAACCUACCUAUAAGACUGGGAUAACUUCGGGAAACCGGUGCUAAUACCGGAUGAUAUUUUGAACCGCAUGGUUCAAAAGUGAAAGACGGUCUUGCUGUCACUUAUAGAUGGAUCCGCGCUGCAUUAGCUAGUUGGUAAGGUAACGGCUUACCAAGGCAACGAUGCAUAGCCGACCUGAGAGGGUGAUCGGCCACACUGGAACUGAGACACGGUCCAGACUCCUACGGGAGGCAGCAGUAGGGAAUCUUCCGCAAUGGGCGAAAGCCUGACGGAGCAACGCCGCGUGAGUGAUGAAGGUCUUCGGAUCGUAAAACUCUGUUAUUAGGGAAGAACAUAUGUGUAAGUAACUGUGCACAUCUUGACGGUACCUAAUCAGAAAGCCACGGCUAACUACGUG